GCUCCAGUUCUGAGCUGUGAGUGCUUCCUGAGUCAGGCCUCCCCGUCCCUACUUCCCAUGUGGGCCUCGUCUAGGGAUUACAGCUUCACAAGUGCUGUCAGAUUCACAGGCAGCUACGUCUUCUCAUGAGGGGAGCAAUAAAUGGAACAUGUGCAAAAUGAUUUUAUCAAGAGCCUCUCAGAUGAUGGCCACAGAGGACGGGACUCCAAGAUAUUCCCCCACAAGAGAAUUGGAUUGGCUCAACCUCACCUCUGGAAUGGUUUCUCCUGGGCCAGUGUCCACCCCAAGGCCAAUCUGCUGUGGCUGGCCUCCAGGUCUCUUCACUAGGCAGCCAGAGCCACGGCGUCCUGGGGAGAGCCAAGGCCCUGACUCUCUAAUAACACAAGUGGACUCCUGGGAGCCCUUGCUCCACCCCUGGACUCCAGAGAAUUGAGCUGUUUCUUCUCAUCCUCUCCUCCUCUCCUCCUGGCUGAGACUUGCAGAGAUGGAUAGCAGCACAGUGUCUGACCUAGAAGGGCCACUGCGAAGCACCUCUUCAUUUGAUUUUAUCUAUCUAUCCAUUGAUUGAUCCAUCUAUCCAUUAUCUAUUUUUCUUGUGGUACAACAUACAAUUUACCCUCUUUUUUGGAGACAGGGUCUCAUUCUGUCAUCCAGGCUGGAGUGCAGUGGUGUGAUCAUAGCUUGCUGAAGCCUGAACUUUCUGGGAUCAAGAGAUCCUCCCACCUCAGCCUCCCUAGUAGCUGGGGUUACAGAUGCCCACCACUAUGCCCAGCUAAUUUUUUAUUAUUAUUAUUUUUUGUAGAGACAAGGUCUCCUUAUGUUGCCCAGGCUGAUCUUGAACUCCUGGGCUCAAACUAUCUUCCUGCCUCCACCUGCCAAAGUGCUGGGAUUGCAGGCAUGAGCCACCACACCUGGCCAAAUUUACCCUUUUAACCAUUUGUAAGUAUACAAUUCAGUGGUAUUAAGUACAUUCACAUUAUUGACCAACCAUCACCACAAUCCCACCCAGAAAUUUUUUUUCAUCCCUAACAGAAACUCUGUAUCCAUUAAAUACUAACUGCUG
RNAcentral lists this long non-coding RNA (1063 nucleotides) under Homo sapiens (human). Its description in RNAcentral is "HSALNT0022695". The record is from RNAcentral. Lineage: Eukaryota; Metazoa; Chordata; Mammalia; Primates; Hominidae.